Non-coding RNA from Phyllostomus hastatus (greater spear-nosed bat), 768 nucleotides. NCBI's taxonomy places the organism in Eukaryota, Metazoa, Chordata, Mammalia, Chiroptera, Phyllostomidae. The record is from the annotation of a RefSeq genome assembly.
CUCCUCUUCCCAGCCAAUGGGGGACAUAAAAGAGGCCUGGCCCACCUCAGACCUCAUCUGGGGACACAGGAAGCUGCCUGCACCAUGGCCUGGACCCUUCUCCUGUUUGUGCUUGUCUCCCACUGCACAGGUUCCCUCUCCCAGCUUGUGCUGACUCAGCCGCCUUCCCUCUCAGCAUCUCUGGGAGCCACAGCCAGAAUCACCUGCACCCUCAGCAGUGGCAUCAGUGUUGGUGGCAGCUACGUAAACUGGUACCAGCAGAACGCAGGGAGCCCUCCCCGGUAUCUCCUGUGGUAUAAAUCAGACUCAGAGAAGCACCAGGGCUCUGGGGUCCCCAGCCGCUUCUCAGGAUCCAAAGAUGCCUCGGCCAAUGCAGGGCUCCUGACCAUCUCUGGGCUGCAGCCUGAGGACGAGGCCGUCUAUUACUGUAUGAUCGGGUACAAUAAUGCUUCUCACAGUGACACACACAGAGGGGGAAGUGGGACAAAAACCUCAACCUAGCAGAGUUUUCUUUGAAGACAGUUGAAUUUUUGCAUGUAUGAACAUAAUUUUGUGUAUGUAAAUAUACUCUAAGGUACCUUCUGGUUUACAAUGCGUCUAAUCCCAGUUUCCCAUUCCACGUCUACAGUCUCAGGGACACGGAGGCCAAACUCAAUACAAAGUGGUCACGGUGACACUGGUUUAUGUUAGCACCUAACGUAUCUACAGUAAAAGAAAACAUAAUAAACACCUUUUUGUGUAUUUUUCAUCUUCACUGUGACAGUUAAG